This 492-nucleotide ribosomal RNA is filed under the name uncultured bacterium. Its description in RNAcentral is "partial 16S ribosomal RNA". It matches the Rfam family "Bacterial small subunit ribosomal RNA", at positions 29 to 507 of the family's 1533-position model. The record is from RNAcentral.
AGUGAACGCUGGCGGUAGGCCUAACACAUGCAAGUCGAACGGCAGCACAGUAAGAGUUUGCUCUUACGGGUGGCGAGUGGCGGACGGGUGAGGAAUAUAUCGGAAUCUACUUUUUCGUGGGGGAUAACGUAGGGAAACUUACGAUAAUACCGCAUAUGAUCUACGGGUGAAAGCAGUGGAUAUUCGGACCUUGCGCGAUUGAAUGAGCCGAUGUCGGAUUAGCUAGUUGGCGGGGUAAAGGCCCACCAAGGCGACGAUCCGUAGCUGGUCUGAGAGGAUGAUCGGCCACACUGGAACUGAGACACGGUCCAGACUCCUACGGGAGGGAGCAGUGGGGAAUGUUAGGCAAUGGGCGGAAGCCUGAUCCAGCCAUACCGCGUGGGUGAAGAAGGCCUUCGGGUUGUAAAGCCCUUUUGUUGGGAAAGAAAAGCUGCAGAUUAAUACCCAGCUGUACUGACGGUACCCAAUAAAUAAGCACCGGCUAACUACGUG